AUUGAACGCUGGCGGAAUGCUUUACACAUGCAAGUCGAACGGCAGCACGGGGCAACCUGGUGGCGAGUGGCGAACGGGUGAGUAAUAUAUCGGAACGUGCCCAAUCGUGGGGGAUAACGUAGCGAAAGUUACGCUAAUACCGCAUACGAUCUACGGAUGAAAGCGGGGGAUCGCAAGACCUCGCGCGAAUGGAGCGGCCGAUAUCAGAUUAGGUAGUUGGUGGGGUAAAGGCUCACCAAGCCAACGAUCUGUAGCUGGUCUGAGAGGACGACCAGCCACACUGGAACUGAGACACGGUCCAGACUCCUACGGGAGGCAGCAGUGGGGAAUUUUGGGACAAUGGGCGCAAGCCUGAUCCAGCCAUUCCGCGUGCAGGAUGAAGGCC
RNAcentral lists this ribosomal RNA (385 nucleotides) under uncultured bacterium. RNAcentral's name for it is "bacterial SSU rRNA". It matches the Rfam family "Bacterial small subunit ribosomal RNA", at positions 30 to 416 of the family's 1533-position model. The record is from RNAcentral.